AUUGAACGCUGGCGGAAUGCUUUACACAUGCAAGUCGAACGGCAGCACGGGGGCAACCCUGGUGGCGAGUGGCGAACGGGUGAGUAAUACAUCGGAACGUGCCCAGUCGUGGGGGAUAACUACGCGAAAGCGUAGCUAAUACCGCAUACGAUCUACGGAUGAAAGCGGGGGAUCGCAAGACCUCGCGCGAUUGGAGCGGCCGAUGGCAGAUUAGGUAGUUGGNGAGGUAAGGCUCACCAAGCCGUCGAUCUGUAGCUGGUCUGA
RNAcentral lists this ribosomal RNA (264 nucleotides) under uncultured bacterium. RNAcentral describes it as "partial 16S ribosomal RNA". It matches the Rfam family "Bacterial small subunit ribosomal RNA", at positions 30 to 295 of the family's 1533-position model. The record is from RNAcentral.